This is a non-coding RNA of Triticum aestivum (bread wheat), 134 nucleotides long. The record is from Rfam. Lineage: Eukaryota; Viridiplantae; Streptophyta; Magnoliopsida; Poales; Poaceae.
CAUAUACUCCCUCCGUCUCAAAAUUUUUGUCUUAAAUUUAUUUAGAUAUGGAUGUACGUAAUACUAAAACGCGACUUGAUAUAUUUGUAUUUAAAAAAUUGAAGACAAGAAUUUUGGGACGGAGGGAGUACUCU